This is a non-coding RNA of Lactuca sativa (garden lettuce), 1916 nucleotides long. The record is from RefSeq and is a predicted model, not a curated record. NCBI's taxonomy places the organism in Eukaryota, Viridiplantae, Streptophyta, Magnoliopsida, Asterales, Asteraceae.
GAUGGAAGAAUAGGGACUAGGAGUGAUUGGAUUCUCAAAGAUUAUUCCAAUGGUGAUAUUAGUGGAAGGGCUACAAGGUGUGUGUUUUUUAAAUUUAUUUUCUUCUCUACCUCCUUUAAUUGUUCUUUUAGCUAAAUGAUAAAGUCUUCAUGAAAUGGGUGAUGAUGAAUGAGGAUACUAGAAGAAUGCAAAAAGUCAUUGAUGAUGUCAAAGAAGGAUAGUUAGUUUUUUGCCCCAUGACACUCACGUAUAGUCGCCUUCAUUUUUUAUAUUAUUUCAGUUAACAUCUAUAAUAAUGUUGUUACAGUUUUGAGUUUUUGGCUUCCACUCCAUAUUAGCAUUUCCUAAAGAGAACAGUUACAGUCUGAAGAAAAUAACAAAACUUGAAGAUCCUCAGAUGCACAAUCUGGAAGCAUGCCUACUAUGCCCACCAUGCCUGAAGCUGGAUUCCCUGCAAAUCCUUUCGACUUUUCAUCUAUGGCUGGUCUACUUAAUGAUCCUAACAUUAAGGAAUUAGCUGCACAAAUAGCAAAAGAUCCAUCACUCAAUCGGAUGACAGAGCAACUUCAACAAACUUUUCAUGCUCCUGAUGAAGGUGUCCCUCAAUUUGACACCCAACAGUGUUAUUCCACAAUGCAACAGGUUAUGCAAAACCCACAGUUCAUGACCAUGGCUGAGCGCCUUGGUAAUGUCAUGAUGCAGGAUCCAUCAAUGUCUCAGACAGCUAAGGAGACCAGGGCUACCUACUUUGUGGCAUCAGUUUUCUUGGAUCAAAGGGGAGGGAUAAAUGAACACAACUGAAGUUGCCACGGUAAGCUCCUGUUACAUGCUAGCUGAUGUGGUCAUCCCGUUAUCUCUGGAGGCCACUGAAGUUGCCCCGAUAAGUUGUUUCCAGCUCCAUGGUAGAAGCACAUUGUUUUAUUGAACUAGGCUUCCUAAUCGACUUAAAGAAUGAAAAAAGGUCAAAUUCUCGACAUCAACCUAGACUUCAGGCACCAUUUUUUCCCAGAUCAAAAAGUACCCUCAGGAUAUUCAUCUUCAACUAAAACAUAUUUGAAGUUUUUAUAGCUUAACAUAAGUCUAAUUAGUUACAUAUAUCAAAUAUUAAUACCAUGUGUGUGUAUAUUGCAGCCGAAAACUUCCAUCUUCCUUACAUAAUAAAGCAGACACAAUUAGCUUUUUGUUUAUUAUCAAAGAGGAUGGAAGACAAGUUCCACUUCUCAGGACUUUGUGGCUUACAAGGUUACCUUUAUUUCCCCAUAACUCAGUGAUUCAAUAAAUUGCAUCCCACAACCGUUGUUAAUGACUAAUAUACCCUUUUGUCUCAUGAAAAUUGCAAUUUUUUAAGAACCAUGUUACAGUUGUUUUAUUUUUAUCUUGGGACCUGAACAACUUCUCAAACGGGCUCAACUUAUGGAAAGGUGGUCACACUUGGAGGGAUGGCCAAGUUGCAUAGCUAAUGAAACUUUACAUGGGUAUUCAUCCUCAAGAUGCACAUAUCAGAUUAUCCUGGUUUCUUUGACAAUAACACAAGUGAUGAAGUCCGCAGAGAAUACUUGGAGGCCCUGCUGCAUGAAUGUAAGAAAAAGGAAGGUGCUCCUGUUUUGAUUGAUGAUGGUCUCAACGAUCUUAUAGCCAGGAGGAUGAAUAACCAAACAGAUCAAUCACGUUGGCUGGAAUAUGUAAAUUAUCAACAAACCAGGUGGCUGGAAUUGGACCUAAAGUUGGUUGCUGAUAUAGGAAUAGUGGGUGCUCCAAAUGCAAGAAAAAGCAUGUUUUUCAGUGAUAUUAGUGUUGACAUGUAAUGUUAGCUAACUUGUUUGAUAUGUGAUAUUUUUUUGAAAUGAAUUAUCGUUCUUAUGUAUGCUAUUUUAUGUCGUAUUAUGAUAAUUUAAUUCUGUUGUUUAAUUUGAAAA